RNAcentral lists this ribosomal RNA (460 nucleotides) under uncultured bacterium. RNAcentral's name for it is "partial 16S ribosomal RNA". It matches the Rfam family "Bacterial small subunit ribosomal RNA", at positions 338 to 795 of the family's 1533-position model. The record is from RNAcentral.
CCUACGGGAGGCAGCAGUGAGGAAUAUUGGUCAAUGGACGAGAGUCUGAACCAGCCAAGUAGCGUGAAGGAUGACUGCCCUAUGGGUUGUAAACUUCUUUUAUAAAGGAAUAAAACGAGGCACGUGUGCCUUUUUGCAUGUACUUUAUGAAUAAGGAUCGGCUAACUCCGUGCCAGCAGCCGCGGUAAUACGGAGGAUCCGAGCGUUAUCCGGAUUUAUUGGGUUUAAAGGGAGCGUAGAUGGGUUGUUAAGUCAGUUGUGAAAGUUUGCGGCUCAACCGUAAAAUUGCAAUUGAUACUGGCAGUCGUGAGGACAGUUGAGGUAGGCGGAAUUCGUGGUGUAGCGGUGAAAUGCUUAGAUAUCACGAAGAAGCCCGAUUGCGAAGGCAGCUUACUAAACUGUGACUGACAUUGAUGCUCGAAAGUGUGGGUAUCAAACAGGAUUAGAUACCCGAGUAGUC